CAGGCCUAACACAUGCAAGUCGAGCGAGAAAGGGGAAACCCCGGUAAAGCGGCGCACGGGUGAGUAACACGUAGGUAAUUUACCCCCAGGUGGUGGAUAACCUUCCGAAAGGAGGGCUAAUACAGCAUAAGACCACGUCUUCGCAAGGAGAUGAGGUCAAAGCCGGCCUCUUCACGAAAGCUGGCGCCAGGGGAUGAGCCUGCGGCCCAUCACGGUAGUUGGUAGGGUAAUGGCCUACCAAGCCUAAGACGGGUAGCUGGUCUGAGAGGAUGAUCAGCCACACUGGAAGUGAGACACGGUCCAGACUCCUACGGGAGGCAGCAGUGGGGAAUCUUGCGCAAUGGGCGAAAGCCUGACGCAGCGACGCCGCGUGAGUGAUGAAGGCCUUCGGGUUGUAAAGCUCUGUGGGGAGGGACGAAUAAGUGCUGGCUAAUAUCCAGCGCGAUGACGGUACCUCUUUAGCAAGCACCGGCUAACUCUGUGCCAGCAGCCGCGGUAAU
RNAcentral lists this ribosomal RNA (500 nucleotides) under uncultured bacterium. Its description in RNAcentral is "bacterial SSU rRNA". It matches the Rfam family "Bacterial small subunit ribosomal RNA", at positions 43 to 524 of the family's 1533-position model. The record is from RNAcentral.